GGCUUCCCUCCCCUGCUGUCAUGGUCCCCAUAAUCCUGGCAAGGCACGACUGUCUUCGAGAUGAAUGUUCUUGUUGUGGGGAUCAGAGUAAGAGAAAGGGAGAGGAACAUCUACACAUGUGACACUGUUCCAGGCUCUGGGGUGAUGAAAUUUACACAAGACAAAGUCCCUGAAUUCAUGGCAGAAGAAGAGAGUAACAAUCCUUCGGCAUGGUUUUGAUGAAGAAAGGAGUCAGUGCGUGUGAAGUGCUGAGAACAUUGCCUGGCCAGUGACAAGGAUGCAGUGACGGCUAGCUUUGUUGACACAGGCCUUUGGUCCCAGAAGGAAAGAAACGAAAAAGUGUAGAGAGUUCAUCAUGAAUCCAUUCUUCCUUCUGGACAGAAAACCUCAAGGCCGUUGUAGUGAGAGAGCGUCCUUCUCCUGCAUGAAGGACCAUGCGUUACAUCUUGUAAGGCCCAUCAAGAGAAAUCUAGUCCCUGGAAAAUGAUGCCACCAUAAAAAAAAAUAUUCUUAAAGCAAUUGAUCUUUUAAGUAAAAUGCAAUCUGACCAGGAACCCCAACACAUAGCACCAAUAAAAGUGUUGAAGGACUCUACCUACUUGUUACCCCUUUUCCCUCUGUGACUGUCCCUAAAGCAACCACAGAAACCAUGAUUUAAAUAAAACCAAACCAAACAAUACAAAA
Long non-coding RNA from Ailuropoda melanoleuca (giant panda), 684 nucleotides. RefSeq lists it as uncharacterized. NCBI's taxonomy places the organism in Eukaryota, Metazoa, Chordata, Mammalia, Carnivora, Ursidae. The record is from RefSeq and is a predicted model, not a curated record. The transcript is spliced from 4 exons.